CAUCGCCAGUCGGAUAAAUCUGAACAAGAACAUAGAGCCUUAAUAGAUUAGAGGUAAUCAGUGGCUGAAGACCUCAUUCAAGGCUCAUUCAAGUGCAGCAAAGACAUUUUUUUGUCCACUCGAAAAACACAUCAUCAAGCAGCAACUCGUUUUCGGCGGGAAAAAAGAAAAUCGUCGCGAUCUUCAACCACCGACGACCUGAAAUCUAAUAAUGCCCAAGCCGCUGCAUGUUUUUAACUAGUCUGGCAACGAGUUUUAUCAGGGUUUUCGCUGCUGUUUUGUGAAGAUAUAGGAUCAGGAUCAUCUGCUGUGGGGCCAUUUUCGCCGACAAAAUGCAAGCUGCAAAUAUAAAUAUCCUUGCCACACUUGAA
Nematostella vectensis (starlet sea anemone) is the source of this 371-nucleotide long non-coding RNA. RefSeq lists it as uncharacterized. Lineage: Eukaryota; Metazoa; Cnidaria; Anthozoa; Actiniaria; Edwardsiidae. The transcript is spliced from 2 exons. The record is from RefSeq and is a predicted model, not a curated record.